This 458-nucleotide ribosomal RNA is filed under the name uncultured bacterium. Its description in RNAcentral is "partial 16S ribosomal RNA". It matches the Rfam family "Bacterial small subunit ribosomal RNA", at positions 338 to 795 of the family's 1533-position model. The record is from RNAcentral.
CCUACGGGUGGCAGCAGUGGGGAAUAUUGCACAAUGGGGGAAACCCUGAUGCAGCGACGCCGCGUGAGUGAAGAAGUAAUUCGUUACGUAAAGCUCUAUCAGCAGGGAAGAAAUACUGACCUUACGGUCAGCAGACGGUACCUGAGUAAGAAGCCCCGGCUAACUACGUGCCAGCAGCCGCGGUAAUACGUAGGGGGCAAGCGUUAUCCGGAUUUACUGGGUGUAAAGGGAGCGUAGACGGGGCGCCAAGUCUGGAGGGAAAUGCCGCAGCUUAACUGCGGAACUGCUUUGGAAACUGGCGAACUAGAGUGCGGGAGGGGUAAGCGGAAUUCCUAGUGUAGCGGUGAAAUGCGUAGAUAUUAGGAGGAACACCGGUGGCGAAGGCGGCUUACUGGACCGUAACUGACGUUGAGGCUCGAAAGCGUGGGGAGCAAACAGGAUUAGAUACCCCAGUAGUC